AGUAUCUUCCUUUCUGAAACUUUUCAGGCAAUAUGCUGUCUUUUCUUGUUGGUUCAAAGCAAGCAUUUGAAGUCUCCAUAGCUGAUGUCUCCCAAACACAGCUACAAGGAAAGAAUGAUGUCAUAUUGGAAUUCCAUGUGGAUGACACAACUGGUGCAAAUGAGAAAGAUUCUUUGAUGGAGAUAAGUUUUCAAUUGAAGCCUUCUUAUGUUUUUUCCUCUCAUCUAUCUUUUAAUGUUGUUCAGAUUGUAACUAAUCUUUGCAAAUUGAUACAUACCAUGUUAUGAAAACUGAAAUGUUUAUAACCAAUUCAUAUUGAAACUGGUAAUUUAUUUUCCAAUCUAAUCUUCUCAUUCCUUUAGUCCAUCUCCCUACAACUUUCUAACAUGCUUUCUGAACAAUCCAGAAUCCAGGUCAACUUAAAGUUCAUCCAGGUGGUAUAUUAUGGAAGAAACAAGGAGGUGGUAAGGCUGUUGAAGUUGAUAAAUCUGAUAUUUCUGGUCUUACAUGGAUGAAAGUUCCACGGACUAAUCAGCUUGCUGUUAGAAUCAAAGAUGGUUUAAAGUACAAGUUCACUGGUUUUCGUGAUCAGGAUGUUAUUAGCCUGACCAACUUUUUCCAGAACUCCUGUGGGUUAACAACAGAAGAGAAACAACCCAUGACUUUUUCUGAUGAUAUCACAACAAUCCUGAGCAGUAUCAAUC
This is a non-coding RNA of Lactuca sativa (garden lettuce), 704 nucleotides long. Lineage: Eukaryota; Viridiplantae; Streptophyta; Magnoliopsida; Asterales; Asteraceae. The record is from RefSeq and is a predicted model, not a curated record.